Molecule: long non-coding RNA, 1426 nt
Organism: Phoenix dactylifera (date palm)
Lineage: Eukaryota; Viridiplantae; Streptophyta; Magnoliopsida; Arecales; Arecaceae
Source: RefSeq, a predicted model, not a curated record
UUGAUCCAUUUGUUGUUUUGUAAGAGGUCCUCUUACUUUAACUUUCUAAGAGAGUGUUCUCUAUGAUUAUUGCGAGGCAACCAUGUAAUCCUGCCUUACUCAAUUAGCAUAGAGCUCAGUAAAUAAAGAAGAAAGCUUCAAAGGCCCCAGUCAGCUAUCCUCCCAAGGGCGGAUGUUCUUGCUAUUUCCCAAUUUAAAUGAUAAAUAGUUUCAAAAGACUUUAAGUUGUUUACUGAUGUCUUUCCAAAUAGAAGAUAAACUUUUGAGAUUUUUUCUAAUCAUCGUUCCAAAUUACUUCCGGCGAUAGGAAACUCUUUGAAUAAGGUUUCAUCAAGAAGAGUCAUCCUCCUGCAAAAACUUUCAAGCCUAUUUUGCAAUAAAUGCUAGAUCCAUUUACUAGAUAUAUUUUAGGAGAAGGCUGUCUAUGGCAACUACUAAUAUAGUUGUUUUUUCCAGAGGGAGAAGAAUGGUUUGGUUGGUGAGUCCUCGGAGUUAUGGAGGUGCCGCAGUAAUCGCAUGCUUGCUCACAACAGGCACUUACAAGUCUUAGAGGUACCCCGAGAGAGAGCCUCGUCAUCGGCAUAUGGGCUUUCUUUAAACUGAGCAGCGGAGAAGUGACUGGGGCUGGUCGGAGGAUAUGGUCUUGUACAUCGGCUAGUUCAGCACCAAUAUAUAGAGCUCCUCAUCCUCCUCUCUCGUGCAGUUCCUCUUCACCGUCCAUAGCAGCAGCGAGUUCAGCGCCGCCUUCAGCCCCUUCAACUGCAUCUCUUUUCCUUCUUGAGAGUAGGCAUAGCAUAAUCAGCCCACCAUCUAUUCGACAAAAAACCCAGUUAGUCAUAGUAGAUCCUGGCCACCACCCGUUCGACAUCUGCUAUUAAUAUCUCCUACUGUGAGCUAUUGAAGAUAAAUCUCUCUCUUUUUUGUUGUUUUGUUCUCUUCCUGUGCAUGGGACCAAAUGAUAAGAUCGAACAUAGAGCUCUUUCUUUUAGUUUUCCUGUUUCUUUCUACGGUGGUUGUUCCUUCCAAAAGAACGCAUCAUUUCUUUAUGACUUGCUACUGUUUGAUGAUAUUCCUAUUUGAAACUUUUAAUAUUAAAUUUACUUAUGAUAACUUUUGAUGAUGAUUUCUUAUUUGGUUGUUGAUUGCAGUUGUCACCGCUAGUGCAGUACAGGAUUAACUUGUAUACUAAAUUUGCAGCCCAAGGUCGUCGCAAUUUCAAAUGCAUUUUCCUUUGCAAAUCCAAAGGCUCCUGUUUAUCCACGGCUCGCACAAGGAAGAUCUUGGAAUGAGGUGGCGCCUGUUUAGGCAUGGGAUGAAUUGCUUUGGACUUCAAUUUUUCUUUUCUAUGUUUCUGUCCACAGUUUCUAAUAAAUUGUAAAAAAUACUUUUGGUUUAUCACAACUUGUCCCAAAAGCUUAAGUUGAUA